GGCAAAGUAGAUUGCUGCGCGUUAAGUGCCGGAUGGACGGGAAGUUGCCGUCCGGACGAAAAAUCCUCGUGAUUUGCGGUGCAGCUUUCGCAUUCCGUUGCC
RNAcentral lists this non-coding RNA (102 nucleotides) under [Clostridium] cellulosi. RNAcentral's name for it is "Clostridium cellulosi THF-I sequence". It matches the Rfam family "THF (Tetrahydrofolate) riboswitch aptamer". Rfam says of the family: THF riboswitch presents a pseudoknot that joins P1-P2 and the loop of P3 and two THF binding. The record is from Rfam by way of RNAcentral. Lineage: Bacteria; Bacillati; Bacillota; Clostridia; Eubacteriales; Oscillospiraceae.